This 477-nucleotide ribosomal RNA is filed under the name uncultured bacterium. RNAcentral's name for it is "partial 16S ribosomal RNA". It matches the Rfam family "Bacterial small subunit ribosomal RNA", at positions 30 to 507 of the family's 1533-position model. The record is from RNAcentral.
AUUGAACGCUGGCGGCAUGCCUUACACAUGCAAGUCGAACGGUAACACGUUAAGCUUCCGAUUGGCGAACUGGUGAGUAAUGUAUCGGUACCUGCCCAGUCGUCUGGCAUAACUUCUCGAAAGACCAGCUAAUACCGCAUACGACCUCAGGUUGUAAUCUGUGGAUCGCAAUUCCUCGCUCGAUUGGAGCUUUCGUGUUCAGAUUAGGUAGUUGGUGAGGUAAAGGCUCACCAAGUCGACGAUCUGUAUCUGGUCUGAGAGGACGACCAGCCACACUGGAACUGAGACACGGCCCAGACUCCUACGGGAGGCAGCAGUGGGGAAUGUUGGACAAUGGGCGAAAGCCUGAUGCAGCAAUGCCGCGUGAGGGAAGAAGGCCUUCGGGUUGUAAAACGCUUUUGUCAGGGAAGAAAAGGUGCUGGAUAAUACCUGGGAAUCAUGACGGUACCUGAAGAAUAAGCACCGGCUAACUACGUG